Molecule: long non-coding RNA, 2737 nt
Filed under: Citrus maxima (pomelo)
Lineage: Eukaryota; Viridiplantae; Streptophyta; Magnoliopsida; Sapindales; Rutaceae
Description: long non-coding RNA (CMAX_LNC001400)
Source: RNAcentral
AUUAAUAUAUUUGCGUAAUGCUAUUAAACCCAAAAGUUUAAUAGCUUUUUCGGACUUUCUUAAACUUUAAAAUUUCGGAUCACAUCAGUAAUACAUGUAUAUAAGACUUGCUAUUAAACCCAAAGGAGGUAAAGAUUUGCCAUCAGAUGCUAAUUUACAACUUCACUUUUGCUGCGGCUUCUUUGAUUUGUUCAAUUGUGAAAAUGCCAAAGAAAUCAUCAUCCACGACUGCAUUUAGUACUGCUAGUGCAAGAUCAUCAACACUAACAGGUGGAGCCAAGAGCAGAUCUGAUGCUGGAAUAGAACUUAAUGGCUUCGUGAAGUUUUCUAUAGCACGAAGAAUUCUCUCUGCUGGUUCCCCAAUCAAAUCCAGAGGAAUUUCAAAGUCACCCACCUUUCGCUUCCCAUAUAUAAAAGCGGGUCUUAAAACGACACCUGAGGAAGACUCAAGCCAAUGAAUAUAGUGAAAACAAAGAGUAAGGAGAUAAAUCAUGCAAGUUGUAAAUGAUAGGGAUGUAUGGCAGCCAUUCGUCUGAUUGUAUAUUCAUUAAGACAUGAUGCACAUUGGCCAUGAAUUGACAGGAAGAAUACAUAUCAUUCCAAGCUCUAUACUAUUAAUAUACCAACAAGCAAUUAUGAUUAGUGAUGCUCCUUCUGGGGUCUUUCCUCUACUUUACCACAAUAUAAAUACAUUGAAUUAAUGAAGUUUCAUGAAGAAGGCAUUGAUGAGUAACAGUAGUAACACAAGCUUUUAAAGAUUAAUUUUUCUUGUUUAACCUCAAUUUGCAGUUGUGAAAUAUCCUAUAGUGGUGACUUUUCAUGCACAUCAAUAAUCAUAAGCAAAGCACUUGCAAACAAGUAUCUAGUCUGACACUAAGUUGGCCGCAUUUUAACCAAGGAUAGAAGCUGGGAUUGCCCUAUUAUACAUAACAUCAAUAAAUAAUUUCCAAAAUAUAACCCAAAAGCAAAGACAUAUUCCAAAUUACCAGAGUUUGGAUAUUUUGAAAGAACUUCUGAUUCUGCUUUCCUCUUUCCUGUGAAAUAUGCGGAUGAAAGUAGAAAUGAUGGCAAAUUGUAAUCAUGCACACUGAUCAAGAUAAACUUGGGAACUCCUGCAAGAAAAAAGGAGAUCAUGUGAGUUGAUAGGUUUUGGCACAACAUUUCCAAUAUACAAAUAGCGCACAUAAACAAGAACGCUUAAAGAAAUACAAAAUGGACAACAAGUUUUUGGAAAUAAGAAGCUAAAUUUCCAAGAACUUCUGUUCUUUCAGAAAAUCUCUAUGACCCAUUUGCGAGUGAAGAAAUCACAUUAUAUAUAUAUAUAUAUAUAUAUAUUUCAAAAAAGUUCAAAUCCAACUGAUGCUUCAACUCGGAGACAUCCGAUAAAAUUGGAACUGAUGCUUCAACUCAAUGUUCUCUAAAAUACAUUACAAAUUAAACCAUUGAUUUCAUAUAGCAGAAUUGAUACAUCUUCCAUGUCAGGUAAUUGACAUCGUGUAUAUUAAUCAUCCUUAGAUGCGCAUAAUGAGUGAAAGAAAGGUCAAAAUCAACCAUUUCUUCCGUGAUUAAUUAACAUUAUUGGCUAUCUUCAAUUUGUUGAUGAUUGAUUGAGUACUGUUUUAUCAUCCACUUCCAUAGUUUCUUUUUAUUUCCUCAGGGAUCCUCAUUAUGUUGAAAAAAAUCAAUAAAUUCAUUCAUCAUUGAGUUCUGCCUUGUCAUGCUCUGAAGAAAGACAGACAUCAUCACCCUAGAUGUGUCUAAUCUUUUCCUUUACAAAUUCUUUUCUCUGACAUGGAAAACAAGAUAUAGCCUCUGUGGGGUAAUAAACACUUUUCAUCGUCUCAAUACCACAACCUUUUUUUUUUCUGUAAUUAAAAACACAUAAGUUUCUGCUGCAUUGUCAACAGAGGAACUGGAAAAUCAAAUGGGUACCAUAAGAGGCAAAGGUUGAACUCUCUUGAAUAGUUCUAAGAGAGAAAUUCUUAAUUCUGGAGGCAAACCAUGUUCAGUUGCCAUGCAGGUAAGGAAGUAAUUGGAAACUUUCUCCCUAACUGAAGCAUUUAAACUUUAGAGGCUUAAGUCAAAAUGUCUGACUUAUUAAGUCACUGAGCUGUUCUAAGUACAUGAAAUUUGAGUUGUAUGGGGUAAGAUGCAAAUCAGUCAUAGACUUUUCUAAUGCAAACAAGACAAGAAGGCCAAAUAUACUCAGUGAAGUAGAACUCUACAGCUCUCAUAAUCACUCAAUCUCAGAACAGGGGAUUUUCCUUUCCAUCCCAUGCCAAAUAACAAGGUUGAGGAAGCAUACUAGAUGAUUUAAAUCAAGAAUUAGCAAACUAGUCAUCCAUUUCAGCCGUGCAGCAUGCUCACCUUAUGGUUGAAAUAUAUUUCUUCAAACCUCAGAAUGAAUGUUGAGUCAUGAAGGGCAUACCUAAGGUUUGCCGAGCCAAGCUAAUUAUUUAGGUCCCCGAACAGGGUUUUUCCAAAAAUCCGGUAAAUGAAAAUAUUAUACCCAACUACAAUAAAAUGAUGAAAAAUAUAGAACUUGAACAUUAAAAUCACUGGAAUAUGUUCAUUGACAGUCUCUUACCAUAUUCCUUUGCAGCAUUCACUGCCACAACAUUAGCCUCACCAUUGAUCCGUAGCAUCUGUUCCUCACUACCAAUGCCUCCAAUGGUAGAAACUACUGCAGUGGCCCCAGCAAGUACUUCAUCCCAGUUUACAUAGAAAACAUCUCCUG